AGGUACAUUCAAAGCACUUGUGCCACAUCUGGAGAAGGUCUAUAUGAAGGCCUUGAUUGGCUCUCCAACAAUAUUGCUGGCAAGGCAUGAUGAAACUGCUGGAAUACAUUUUGCACUUGGAAGAGACCAUUAGUCAUUGUGGAGCAGAAAGAAUGAAGAAGAAAGAAGUAUUAUGUCUGAUUUUACAACAGUUUAUAGUAUAUUAGUAUCCGUUGAUGUUUGCGUCAUUGUGUGUGCGUGUAGUUUUCUAAACCAACCUCAACUUUUUUACUUGUUAAAAACGAAUUUGUGAUAGUUCUCGCUUUUACCGUUUU
Capsella rubella is the source of this 314-nucleotide long non-coding RNA. RefSeq lists it as uncharacterized. The record is from RefSeq and is a predicted model, not a curated record. Lineage: Eukaryota; Viridiplantae; Streptophyta; Magnoliopsida; Brassicales; Brassicaceae. The transcript is spliced from 2 exons.